Molecule: long non-coding RNA, 1430 nt
Organism: Acanthaster planci (crown-of-thorns starfish)
Lineage: Eukaryota; Metazoa; Echinodermata; Asteroidea; Valvatida; Acanthasteridae
Source: RefSeq, a predicted model, not a curated record
CGAAUGACCUGCUGGCUGCGGCUUGCAAGAACUCAUUAGAGUACGGCUGCGGUCGCAGCCACUGCCUUCUAGAACACGGCUGUGGUUACAGCCACUGCUUUCUACUACUGUGCCAGUGGUAGCGCGUGAUUUCAAGCCACAGGACUCCUCGUGCACGUACGAAGCUGACUGCUUGUGCAUGUACACUGUACUAAGUAUGAACACGUUUUGGCGCUUUUUAACUCGAGUUUUGCCCUGGCAGUGGAUCGUCGGCUCUUGAAAGGCCAGCUGCACAAGUAAGGAUGGAGCGGUGAAGAGCGACUGGCUCGGAGUCCAUCUUGAAGGUUGGAUUAGAGCGGCUUGGGGCAUGGAGAAAUUCCAAGUUUGGAGUCGGCGUUUAGGCAUGAUGUUCCUUGGUAGCUGCCUCACCAUGGGAGAUUGUUGCUUGAGGAGAGAUGCAUCAGUCACAUUUGAUAUAGAGUUUUGCCCUGGCAGUGGAUCGUCGGCUCUUGAAAGGCCAGCUGCAAAAGUAAGGAUGGAGCGGUGAAGAGCGGCUGGCUCGGAGUCCAUCUGGAAGGAAGGUUAGAGCAGCUUGGGGCAUGGAGGAAUUCCUUCCAAGUUUGGAGUCGGCGUUUAGGCAUGAUGUUCCUUGGUAGCUGCCUACCAUGGGAGAUAGUUGUCUGAGGAGAGAUGCAUCAGUCACAUUUGAUAUAGGUAUGUAGAUGCUUCCCAUGAGUGGAGAGGUCUGUGCAUGGCAUUGGCCAUGAAGAAGUGACCCUUGGACUAUCAGGGUGUUGAAGGUCAUUCCAUGAAAGUUCAUUCCUCCCAGACAGUCCACCCAGAGACAGACCCCCCAUGCAGUUGGCAACACAUAUUGCAGCCUUUUCCUGCCUUCUCCAAGCUUGAUGGCAGUGUAGUGCUUCAGUCAGUUCCUUCCUGUGUUAUGGGUCAAAACAGCCAAAAAAGUAGAUCUGAACGCAUCCAACAAUCGGAGCGCCUCAUCAUUUGGUAUGUUAAGCAAAAUUCCCAGGUAAGUGGCCUUCUUCACAUUUUGAAAUUAAUUUUGAAUUUAAAACAUUUAUAACCUGACUAAGUCACUGAUAUAAUUAUUUAUAACUUUACGUUUGAAAAGUUCUGUACCGGAGUCACCCGGAGUGCAAUUCUUCCUCGUAAAACGAACCGCAAAUAGCUUCACCGUUAUAAUCUUUUAAUGCGUACACGGGUCUUGUUUGCCGCCCACUGCGUUUGGCUAUUGUAAAUAUCUCCUCGGACCAGGAUGGGAGGUAGGACUUUUCAAAGGUCAGCCGCCGUUUACUGACUCGAACCGUAUCUCCCACUUUAAACCGAAAUUUAGAGGGUGGAUUGGGCGGCGCAUACAGACGUUUUUGGACAGCCCUGAAGAAACCCCCGUUCUAUAAAAUAAAUUGUCUCAACGCUUCUAAUUUUUCCGC